Small nuclear RNA from Rattus norvegicus (Norway rat), 100 nucleotides. Lineage: Eukaryota; Metazoa; Chordata; Mammalia; Rodentia; Muridae. The record is from Ensembl.
UGCUGGCUUCAGCAGCACAGACAUUAAACGUGAACGACACAGAGAUUAGCGUGCCCCCAGCGUGAGGAUGCCUCUCAAACUUGAGGCGUCCCAUAUUUUU